AUGGCCGGAUCUGGCUUUAGCUCGCACAAGCCUGUGUGCGGCGGGACGGCCCAGCCAGGUUGGCUCGUGUUCGCCGAGUUCUACGUGCGGCGGUGGCAAGAUCAAAUUGGCAAUGCGACUCCACGGGGGAGGGCUGGAAGGCCCGGUGGUGGUGGCAAUGCCCAGGGAAGAGGAGGGCCAGCCACGAAGCCUAGACGCAAGAGAUUCAGGACUACCAAUGAUCUGCACACUGACCAGACUCGACAGGAGCAGGUCAUCCCUGAAGAUGUCGCUGAACAGGCUGAAUGUGCCGGCAGAGUCCAGCAAGACCUCGGUCUCAACAAGGAGCCUGCCAAUUUGAACAAGGCAGCCGGCGGCGACGAGGGCGGCGGCAGGGCUGCCGAUUGCUCGGGAAGGGGCGGUGAUAGUGCCGCCGACGGAUCAGCACAAGCGGCACACAAAAGGGCUGUUAACUGUUCUGCUACUGUCGAAAGAGAAAGCCCAGCUUCGAAGCCUAAACGAAAUGACAUCCCAGGAGCUAUUACUGAAGGUGUUCAGACCAUGACGAUAUCGCCGGUGCCAAAGAGGGUUGCACUUAAAUUUGAGCAGCGGAAAAGCAGAGCAGGUUGCUAUGACACCCCAUUAGAGUGGAAAGUAUAUCAGACUCUCAACGGCUGUUAUGGCAUACCAUCGGUACACUACAUGGGUCGUCAAGGAGACUACCACACUCUUAUAAUGGAUAUGCUUGGUCCUAACCUCUGGGAUGUUCGGGAUUCACUGGAACAGAAGAGGAUGCCAUUUCAAAUGGUUGCUCGUAUUGCCGUUGAUGCCAUAUCAAUUUUUCAGAAGAUUCACUCCAAAGGGGGAACAAUUAGAUAUGCCAGCGUCCAUGCCCAUUUAGGCCGUACAGCUAGUAGGAGGGAUGAUCUGGAGUCACUAGCAUACACCCUUUUGUUUUUGUUAAGAGGAAGCUUGCCAUGGCAAGACUGUCAGGGAGAUAACAAGAGCUUUCUUGUUUGUAAGAAGAAAAUGGAGACUUCUCCAGAGGUGCUGUGUAGAUCCUAUCCAACUCCAUUCAAACAUUUUCUUGAGAUGGUUACUACUAUGAAAUUUGAUGAAGAGCCAAAGUACCAAAAACUUAUUUCUCUCUUUGAUGAUUUGAUCGAGAGACCUGCUUCAAGACCCAUCAGAAUCGAUGGAGCUCUAGAGGUUGGACAUAAACGUGGAAGAAUUGUCGGAACUCCUGAACAAGAUGAAAAACCUAUGAAAAAAGUUCGGUUGGGGAGCCCAGCAACUGAAUGGAUGUCUGUUUAUAAUGCUAAGCCACCCAUGAAGCAGCGGUAA
RNAcentral lists this ribosomal RNA (1323 nucleotides) under Triticum aestivum (bread wheat). Its description in RNAcentral is "partial small subunit ribosomal RNA". The record is from RNAcentral. Lineage: Eukaryota; Viridiplantae; Streptophyta; Magnoliopsida; Poales; Poaceae.